Molecule: ribosomal RNA, 494 nt
Filed under: uncultured bacterium
Lineage: Bacteria
Description: partial 16S ribosomal RNA
Rfam family: Bacterial small subunit ribosomal RNA
Source: RNAcentral
GACGAACGCUGGCGGCGUGCUUAACACAUGCAAGUCGAACGGAAAGGCCUGCUUUCCCUUGUGGAUUGCGGGUACUCGAGUGGCGAACGGGUGAGUAACACGUGAGUAAUCUGCCCCCAACUUGGGUAUAAGCCUGGGACACUGGGUCUAAUUCCCGAUAGUACUGCAGGGUGGUUCCUGUGGUGGAACACGAUUUUCUAGUGGUUGGGGAUGAGCUGGCGGCCUAUUAGCUUGUUGGUGUGGUAAUGGCCUACCAAGGCGGCGACGGGUAGCCGGCCUGGGAGGGGGCACGGCAACAUUGGGACUGAGCUACGGCCCAGACGCCGGCGGGAGGCAGGAGUGGGGAGUAGUGGACGAUAGGCGGAAUCCUGAUGCACCGGCGGAGGGAGGGGGAUGACGGCCUUCGGGAUGUAAACUUCUGGCGAUCGCGAGGAUGCCACCUGGUUGGUGGGGUGGUGACGGUACUGGCAGAAGAAGCACCGGCUAACUUCGUG